AUGAGAAUAAGGGGAGAGAUUGCAGAUUAUUAGCAACGCCGAAGGAGCAAGUACCCGAUAAUGUGUUUAUCGAUACGAAUCUCUCAGGCAAAAAGACUCUUAUUUGACG
RNAcentral lists this non-coding RNA (109 nucleotides) under Halalkalibacter krulwichiae. RNAcentral describes it as "Bacillus krulwichiae Glycine sequence". It matches the Rfam family "Glycine riboswitch aptamer". From Rfam's summary of the family: This family represents the bacterial glycine riboswitch. The record is from Rfam by way of RNAcentral. Lineage: Bacteria; Bacillati; Bacillota; Bacilli; Caryophanales; Bacillaceae.